GAUCCAGCCAUGCCGCGUGAGUGAAGAAGGCCUUCGGUUGUAAAGCUCUUCGGCCGGGAAGAAAUCGCAUGGGUCAAUACCCUGUGUGGAUGACGGUACCGGAAUAAGAAGCACCGGCUAACUACGUGCCAGCAGCCGCGGUAAUACGUAGGGUGCGAGCGUUAAUCGGAAUUACUGGGCGUAAAGCGUGCGCAGGCGGUUUGGUAAGUCAGAUGUGAAAUCCCCGGGCUCAACCUGGGAACUGCAUUUGAGACUGCCAAGCUGGAGUUUGGCAGAGGGGGGUGGAAUUCCACGUGUAGCAGUGAAAAUGCGUAGAGAUGUGGAGGAACACCGAUGGCGAAGGCAGCCCCCUCGGGGCCAAAUAACUGACGCUCAUGCACGAAAAGCGUGGGGGAGCAAAACAGGAUUAGA
This 411-nucleotide ribosomal RNA is filed under the name uncultured bacterium. Its description in RNAcentral is "bacterial SSU rRNA". It matches the Rfam family "Bacterial small subunit ribosomal RNA", at positions 385 to 782 of the family's 1533-position model. The record is from RNAcentral.